RNAcentral lists this ribosomal RNA (305 nucleotides) under uncultured bacterium. Its description in RNAcentral is "partial 16S ribosomal RNA". It matches the Rfam family "Bacterial small subunit ribosomal RNA", at positions 505 to 809 of the family's 1533-position model. The record is from RNAcentral.
ACAGCAGCAGCCGCGGUAAUACGGAGGGUGCAAGCGUUAAUCGGAAUUACUGGGCGUAAAGCGCACGCAGGCGGUCUGUCAAGUCGGAUGUGAAAUCCCCGGGCUCAACCUGGGAACUGCAUUCGAAACUGGCAGGCUAGAGUCUUGUAGAGGGGGGUAGAAUUCCAGGUGUAGCGGUGAAAUGCGUAGAGAUCUGGAGGAAUACCGGUGGCGAAGGCGGCCCCCUGGACAAAGACUGACGCUCAGGUGCGAAAGCGUGGGGAGCAAACAGGAUUAGAUACCCCUGUAGUCCCUGUCUCUUAUAU